UCGAUCGGAAAAGGACAGUGAGCAAGCCAAGAGCAGGCGGAUACAUCGCCACAAUCUAGGCCAAAAAGUAGCUGGAGUUGGCUGGUAAGUCUGUUCCGGAGUAUUGUAUUAUUACAGUCUUGUGGAUGUUACGUUAUCACUAGCUGCAAUUUUCAGUAUGGCAUUUUCUGAUGGUGUUUCUCUGUCUUUCAAACAAUACCAAGGAAAGAAAGUGGAGGUAAAGGUCCAUAGUAUUACCUUGUUUACUUGAAAAAAGGAACAGAAUAUAGUGCAUUGUUGUCAGUUGUCCUACGUUAAAGUACUAUUCUUUUUGGAGUCGUAAAUCCUCUGGAAACAGCAGUCUCCUGUAAUACUGUGAUCAAACAAAGGUCUACUUCCAUGAGGGAGGUAUGUAAGAAGUUUUUGUUUUCUAGAUUGCCGGAAAUAACCUCUGAGGUGUUUAGGGUGAUCAAUAAUUUCUUUUUCUUUCAAGGGGGAGGGGGAGGUGGGGAUGGGGCCUUCAGACCUUUGAUCUCUGGUUUGUUUCCAUCGUUUCCCUUAUUUGUUUCAGUUGGAAGGCUGCGCACUUUUCUUUCGAAUACAUUUAAGCUAUGCAAACCAUGGGCAACCUGUGCAUGCUAAAAAUUGCAGUACAUUCUUCACACAAGAGCAAGAGAUUAUCUUGUCAGGAGUGAGUCACAGGAAUCUCUAGGAAAUUGGGACGGACUCCCACAAACUACAGUAGCCCAUCUUUGUAAAUUUAUGACAUGAUUGUCAUGUUUGUAUUACUGUAUUAUCAAUAGUGUCUUGGGUGUCCAUUUGUGAUGGUAGGCCUAUCACAUUCACAUGAUUAGCAAAAUAAAAGUGCCAUGAAAACAUAGUAACAGAGUAGCGUAUCUAGUAUAGGAGUCUGGAAAUGAGGGCACAAAGGUGAACAUUGAUAAGUGAGGAGUGCUAGCUUCCAAAAUAAGUAAUACACUAUGAGGGGGUGCUUCAAGCAUUUUCAGUAGAGGGACGACUUGGGGAUCUACUGUAGGUACGCCACAGGUAAUACAGCACAUAACCACUUUUCGGACCAAAGUCUCAAGCAGCUUUUAUUAUGAUAAAGAUUAAA
Anneissia japonica is the source of this 1093-nucleotide long non-coding RNA. RefSeq lists it as uncharacterized. NCBI's taxonomy places the organism in Eukaryota, Metazoa, Echinodermata, Crinoidea, Comatulida, Comatulidae. The transcript has 3 exons. The record is from RefSeq and is a predicted model, not a curated record.